Molecule: long non-coding RNA, 78 nt
Organism: Aricia agestis (brown argus)
Lineage: Eukaryota; Metazoa; Arthropoda; Insecta; Lepidoptera; Lycaenidae
Exons: 3
Source: RefSeq, a predicted model, not a curated record
UUCAGUACAAAUUUAGAAAUGCAUGUACGCGUCGCGUUGAGGUCUGAUUUAACCCUUAGUCGUCAAAAUACAUAAUAU